AGUGAACGCUGGCGGUAGGCCUAACACAUGCAAGUCGAACGGCAGCACAGUAAGAUCUUGCUCUUACUGGUGGCGAGUGGCGGACGGGUGAGGAAUACAUCGGAAUCUACUUUUUCGUGGGGGAUAACGUAGGGAAACUUACGCUAAUACCGCAUACUACCUACGGGUGAAAGCAAGGGAUCUUCGGACCUUGCGCGAUUGAAUUAGCCGAUGUCGGAUUAGCUAGUUGGCGGGGUAAAGUCCCACCAAGGCGACGAUGCGUAGCUGAUCCGAGAUGAGGAGCGGCCACAAUAGAAAUGAGAAAAGGGCGAGACUCCGACGGUAGGAAGCAGUGGGGAAUAAUGCACAAUGGGCGAAAGCCUGACGGAGCAAUAACGCGUGAGUGAUGAAGGACUUCGGAUCGUAAAACGCUGUUAUUAGGAAAGAAAAAAUGAGUAAUAAACUGUGCACAUCUUGACGGUACCUAAUCAGAAAGCUACGGCUAACUCCGUG
This 492-nucleotide ribosomal RNA is filed under the name uncultured bacterium. RNAcentral's name for it is "partial 16S ribosomal RNA". It matches the Rfam family "Bacterial small subunit ribosomal RNA", at positions 29 to 507 of the family's 1533-position model. The record is from RNAcentral.